Methylomicrobium album BG8 is the source of this 28-nucleotide non-coding RNA. The record is from Rfam. NCBI's taxonomy places the organism in Bacteria, Pseudomonadati, Pseudomonadota, Gammaproteobacteria, Methylococcales, Methylococcaceae.
GUUCACUGCCGUACAGGUAGCUUAGAAA